RNAcentral lists this ribosomal RNA (489 nucleotides) under uncultured bacterium. RNAcentral describes it as "partial 16S ribosomal RNA". It matches the Rfam family "Bacterial small subunit ribosomal RNA", at positions 30 to 506 of the family's 1533-position model. The record is from RNAcentral.
AUUGAACGCUGGCGGCAGGCCUAACACAUGCAAGUCGAACGGUAACAGGAAGAAGCUUGCUUCUUUGCUGACGAGUGGCGGACGGGUGAGUAAUGUCUGGGAAACUGCCUGAUGGAGGGGGAUAACUACUGGAAACGGUAGCUAAUACCGCAUAACGUCGCAAGACCAAAAAGGGGGACCUUCGGGCCUCUUGCCAUCGGAUGUGCCCAGAUGGGAUUAGCUAGUAGGUGGGGUAACGGCUCACCUAGGCGACGAUCCCUAGCUGGUCUGAGAGGAUGACCAGCCACACUGGAACUGAGACACGGGCCAGACUCCUACGGGAGGCAGCAGUGGGGAAUAUUGCACAAUGGGCGCAAGCCUGAUGCAGCCAUGCCGCGUGUAUGAAGAAGGCCUGCGGGUUGUAAAGUACUUUCAGCGGGGAGGAAGGGAGUAAAGUUAAUACCUUUGCUCAUGGACGUUACCCGCAGAAGAAGCACCGGCUAACUCCGU